AGGUGAUAUAUUGAAAAAUGGUAUAUGUAAUUAAUAUUAUUUUAAGGAUUAUAAAUCAAAAUUUAUAAAUGAUAAAAAGAUUAACUAAAAAGUAAUCAAUCAUAAUCAUGAAAAUGAUAAAAAAUAAAAACAAGUGGAAUGAAACAUCUGAGUAACUUGUAAAAUAACCAACAGGGAUAAUAUAAGUAACGGUGAGUGAAAGUAUUAGAAUCUUAAAGUAUUACCAAGAGGUAAGAAUAAAGUAGUUUCCAACUACUAAGAAAAAAAAAUAAAUUUUAGAUUAAAGUACCGCAAGGGAAAGUAAGAAAAUAGAAUAAUAAAGAGCAAUCAUUGAAUGGUGUACCUCUUGUAUAAUGGGCCAGUGAGUUAUAUAUUUUAGUGAGAUUAAAUUCGUAUAUAAAUAGAAAUUAAUUAAAGUAUAUAGGCCCGAAAGCAAACGAUCUACACAUGUCCAAGUGUAUAUAAAACCUUAUAAGGUAUAUAUAUGACUCAAUAGGUAAUUGUAGCAAUAAUUUCUAAAGAGGUGUGUGUAGCUGUGACAGACAAAUCUGGUUUGCAGAUAGCUGGUUUUCUGCGAAAUAUAUUUUAGUAUAGCCUUUAUAAUCUGUUAAAUUAACAGACAUUUAAACUGGUACAGCACUUAAAUACCUUUGGGGAAUUAGAAUAUAAUUUUAUCAAAAUAUUUAAACCUCGGAAUCAGUGAAUAAUGAAAUAUAAGGAGUCAGACUUAUUGCGAUAAGGUAGUAAGUCGAGAAGGAAACAACCUAGACUAUUAAAUGAAUGUCCCAAAUAUUAAUUAAGUGAAUAAAAUCUAUCCUACUUUAAUUUUUAUCCCGCCCACCGAAGGUGGGCGGGGGAAAUAAUAUAUCCCCCCGCGAAGCGGGGGGGUUAAUUUUUAUAUAAAUAAAAAUCAAAAGUUAAAAUCUUAUGAUUUUACAUUAUUAUAUAUAAAUGCCGGCCGAAGGCCGGCAUUUAUAAACCUAAUCUUUUAGGCCAUAAUAUACGGGGUAUUAAAUUAUAGACAAUUAGUAAGUGGGUUUGACAAUAAUCAACUUUUAAUGAACAUGUAACAAUGCACUAAUUUUAUAUAUAUAUAUAUAAUUUUAUAUAUAUAUUUAUUAAUAAUAGAGAAAAUAUAUCGGGUCUAAAUUAAUAACAGUAUUAUAGAUAUAAUCAUAAAGAUUAUAUGGUAGCAGAAUAUAUAAUGAAAAAUUAUAAAGAGAUUGCUGGCUUGAGUAACGAUAGAUAAUAUAAGAUUAUCCCCUUAUUCAUAAGGUUUUACUAUAAACGAACGGUCCCUAAGAUUAAUAUAGAAAUAUAUAAUUAAUGGGUAAAAGAACAAGAAAAUAAAAAUGAACCGUACUGUAGACCGACACAGGUAUGAUAAAAAGGGAAUGGGAUAACUACUUUGAAUGAACUCGGCGUGCGACUUGAUAAGUCUUAAUUAAUAGUAUAACAUUUUGGUUAUAUUGUGUAUCUUCCACAUUUGUCUACUUAAACAUGCAUUAUAAGUAAUUAUUUUGUAUGAAGCUUUAAGGAAUAUGUUAUUUAUUAAAAUAACUUGACACGAUACUUAUGGUGAAUGAAAAUGAAUCGAAUGUUUGAACAAUCGUAAUUAUAUUAAUAUGGGCCCCCUUCGGGGGCCCUUAUAAUACCCCCCCUUCGGGGGGAUAUAUUAGGUAAUUGAUUUAAGUAUGUCGAGUGCUUAAAUGAAGAUCAAAUAAUACCAACGAUUGAUAAUUCGGCACCUAAAAGUUGAACUGAUAUUAAUUAAGGAACAAGGUAAGCCCAAUAUUUCUCAUAAAAAAAAGAUAGAUAUUUAAUAUACCCGCCCACUUUAUGUGGGCGGUAUUUUAUCUUUAUUUAUGAGUAGUUUAUUAUAAAAUAAGUAAUUAUGGAAAUAUAAAUAUAUAAUAUUGGGUAAAAGAUAAUUGAAAAAGCAAAUGCUUAGUGGUAAUAACUAAGAUAGGAAUAAUUAUUCUAAUCCGAGAGGGUGCAGACUUCAAUUAGAUGACUCGCUAUUAAAAAUUAAUAGAGGUAACAAUAAAGGAAAAUAAACAUAAAAUAACCUUCACUAUGUGAGAGUUAUCUCGGUAAAAAAGCUGAGUAAAAUUUUAUGUAAAAGAUACUAUAAAGUUACUGAAUAAUUGGGAAAACCAAUGAAAAAGGAGUUGUUUGAGCCGUAUGCGAUGAAAGUCGCAUGUACGGUUCUGAACGGGGGAAAAUCUGUGAGGAUCUACCUAUCGUAAUAAAAUAAAUCGUGCGACUGUUUACCAAAAACAUAGCUUAUUGCAUACUAGUAAUAGUAAGUAUAAUAAGUGAUAUCUGCCCGGUGUUAGUUUAAUAAAUAUUAUUAUUGUUUAGAUAAUUUUAUAAAAGACUGAUAAACGGCGGUCUUAUUGUGAGGAUCCGAAGGUAGCGGUGCGACAAGAUAAGUUCAUAAUAAGAAUAAGGUGAAAAUCCUUUACAAUUGUCAUAUUUGUAAACCUAACUCAACAUGCAUUAUAAGUAAUUAUUUUGUAUGAAGCUUGAGUGACAACGGCUAUAAACUUUAACUGAUAUAAGUGAUCUAGUCUAGGUUAGAACAACAUGAUUAGUAUAAACUAAAUAGUGUAUUAAAAUCUCGUUAUAGGUAAGUAACUUGUUCAGUAUUUGGUUACUUUAUGAUUAAAAUAAUAUUGACGCUACGAAUAUUAUUAUAUGACUGAAAUAAAAAAAUAUAAUCAUCGGGAUAUAGCUAUAAUCUAAAUUGUUCAUAAAGGUCUUAUUAUGGAAACUUGGUAAGCCUUAUACAUACCUAAUUUAAAUACCCCGCAUAUGCGGGGUUAUAUUUAGGAAGUAAUAUAUAAUAUUAAUGAACUCCCCGCCCACCAAAGGUGGGCGGGCUUUAUUUAAUAGAAAUUAUUAUAUAGUGUAGAAGGUAAAGGAUAAAUAUAAAAAGCUAAUGAUUUUAUGUAAUGUAAAAUAUAAAGUUAUUUAACUUAUUUCGAAAGAAAGCUGACUUAUAUAUAAGGCCAUUAAAAAAAAAAUAAUAUAACAUUAUAAAUAAACGGUUUCCUUUAAGGGGCCCAUGUUUAUAAAAAGUUAUAUUAUAUUUAAGAUAAAAUAAUCAAGAUGAAAUCUUGAUGAUUAGGGGGGCCGUAGGCCCCCCCAUUAUGCCUACUAUAUAAAAAAAUAUAUAUCUAUUUUUUUUAUGGAUAUAAGUAUAAUAGGGAAAUCUUAAAAAAUGGUUUGAGCCGUAUGCGAUGAAAGUCGCACGUACGGUUCUAAAGGGGGGAAAGCUUGAGAGGGCCUACCUAUCCUAACAAAUUCAUUGACGUAUAAUUGACGUCCUGCAUGAAUGAAUAUACGAUGCGAUAACUGUAUCCAAAGUAGACUCAGUGAAAUAGCAAUUGCGGUGAAAUUAGUACUAUAAUAUAUCUAUAUUAUACGCCGGGUUGGUGAAAAUCCAACUUUAUAGUUAAAAUACCCCCGCGAAGCGGGGGGGAUUUAAAAGUAUUAAAGAAUUAUCCGGUAUUUUCCGACAUAAUAAUUCAAAAAAAGAAUACAAUCGAAUAAUACUUAAUCCUUUAAAAGGGCUAAAUAACCCCGCCCACCAAAGGUGGGCGGGGUUGAUUAAUCCUCGGCUACGCCGGAGGAUAAAUUACAAAAGGCAAAAUGUAAUUUAAUAACUAUAAAUAAAAAGGUGAAAACGGUUAAUGAUAUCUUAGUUAAAGACCGUCGGCAGUUGUAUAUGUCGCUACAGACUGGUUCACCGAGGUUAGACUGAAAUGUCUGUCUAAAUGUACAGUCGGAUUCUGUAAUAUAAUAGAUAAAUAUAUGGGCCCGCCGAAGGCGGGCCUAAUGAUAUAUUUAUUUAUAUAUAAAGGUGAAAGAUUUAUCUAUUAUUUAGAUAUAACUUAUUAGUACAUAAGUAAGAAACCUUUGUAGGUCAAACCUACUUAAGUUAAUCAGAAUUGGAAGAUGCCGUAUAUCCGUAGGUUGACAAAAAGACCCUAUGCAGCUUUACUAUAUCUUUAUUUUGAUUUUUUAAUCAUAAUUUUAUUAUGAUUAACCCUUUUUUUAUUUAUUUCAGCAGAUUAGGUUAUAUUUAUAUUUUAAAUCAAAUGAGAUACCUAUAUAAAUAAAAAAAGAAUCUAAUUAAUAUAGUCAAAAUUCAAUAAAAAUUGAAUUGCCCUUAAAAAGGGUUAUUAAUAAACUAAUGACUUAAGUUUUAACUUAUUUAAGAAAGAGUAAAGAGGUUAGUUUCGAUGGGGCGUCGACAUCAGCGAAAGCAUCUGAUGUGUCUAAUAACAAAGAUCUUGAAUAUCAAGACUAAAUGUUUAAUUAAAUUAUUUAUUUAAUAGUAAAUAACGUACAAUAAUUCUAUAUGGUAAAUAGAAUAAAAAGAUAUGAUAGGUAUUACCUAUCUUUAAAUUUUAUCUUAUCCCCGCUAAGCUUAGCGGGGUAUAUAAGUAAGGAUAACAACAUAAUUGUGCGAUGAUAAUAACACAAACAAGUGGAAUUAGUACUUACGUAGAGUGUAGUGAACAGGCAUAAACAAAUGGUAUGGAUGUCGAUAACGGAUUAAAGUUACGCUAGGGAUUAAAUGUUAGUUCCUUUAUAUAAUAAAUUAUAUAUUAUCUCCGCGAUAGUGAGAUAGCCCUCUAAUGAGGGAAUAUUAAUUGGGUGAAUAACAAAAAACUCUUUAUCAAUAUAAAGACAAUUUGUAACGAAGUAUAUAUUAGUUUUAAUAAGAUAUAUAAACGUUCAACGACUAGUAAUUGAGUAAACUAACAAUAAUAUUACCACGAGCGCCCAAUACCUAAUUUACCCCCCGCCUGAAGAGGCGGGAUAUAAAAUGGGCCCCGAAGGGGCCCAUGAUUAUUUAAUUAAUCUUUAUAUUUUAUAUUUCUUUAAUGCCCCUUUGGGGUAUUUUAUAUUUUAAAUGAUAAUGAUUUUUUAUAUAUGGGCAUUAAGGUAAAGACAUAGUCUGAACUAUAUAGUGAUAUAUAGAAGUUGUAAUUAAAAAAGCAACAAUAACAAAAUUGAACAGGGUAAUACCGCGUGAGAGUUGAUAUCGUCAGCGGUGUUUGCCACCUCGAUGUCGUCUAGACUCGUCCUCCUGGUCGCAGCAACUAGGUAGGGUAGGACUGUUCGUCCUCUAAGGAGUUACUUGAGAUGGGUUAAUUACGACGUGAGUCAGUAAUGAUUUUAUCAUCUAUGGAUUUUUUUCUUAUCUGUUGCCUUAAGUGUACGCAAGGAUAAUAAGGUACAUUCCUAUGGUUAAUUAUUUAAUUUAGCUAAGAAUGUUGUGUUUACAUAUUGAAUGCAUAUCAAAUAUUAAAUCCUUCAGAUAAGUUUAUACAUUAUAGACUAUAAUGUUUUAGUUAAUAUGUGAUUUUCGCAUAUUUUCUAAUUAAUCCCCCCGAAGGGGGUAUAUAAUAAGGGGCCCCCGAAGGGGGCCCCUAAUUAAUUUAUUUAUAAUACUUAUAUUAUAAAUUAAAAUACAUAUACCU
Molecule: ribosomal RNA, 5498 nt
Filed under: Metschnikowia dekortorum
Lineage: Eukaryota; Fungi; Ascomycota; Pichiomycetes; Serinales; Metschnikowiaceae
Source: RNAcentral